Molecule: ribosomal RNA, 301 nt
Filed under: uncultured bacterium
Lineage: Bacteria
Description: partial 16S ribosomal RNA
Rfam family: Bacterial small subunit ribosomal RNA
Source: RNAcentral
CAGCAGCCGCGGUAAUACGUAGGGUGCGAGCGUUAAUCGGAAUUACUGGGCGUAAAGCGUGCGCAGGCGGUUCGUUAAGACAGAUGUGAAAUCCCCGGGCUUAACCUGGGAACUGCAUUUGUGACUGGCGAGCUAGAGUAUGGCAGAGGGGGGUAGAAUUCCACGUGUAGCAGUGAAAUGCGUAGAGAUGUGGAGGAACACCGAUGGCGAAGGCAGCCCCCUGGGCCAAUACUGACGCUCAUGCACGAAAGCGUGGGGAGCAAACAGGAUUAGAUACCCCAGUAGUCCCUGUCUCUUAUAC